RNAcentral lists this long non-coding RNA (5277 nucleotides) under Hordeum vulgare. RNAcentral describes it as "long non-coding RNA (HVUL_LNC020935)". Lineage: Eukaryota; Viridiplantae; Streptophyta; Magnoliopsida; Poales; Poaceae. The record is from RNAcentral.
AUCAGUUACCCAAUAAUCCAUUCUUCGCUUCCGCUCUUCCUCUGCUGCCGACAUGGCCUCUCCCCGCUCCUCCCACUCUGGCGACGUCAAUCCCUUCGCCAUCCUCGAGCCCGCCUCCGCCGCCAGCAUCCGCCUCAUCCACAUACAGGAUCAUGUUCCCAUUGUGCUCGAUCUCCACACCCCCUCCUUCUCCACCUGGCGCACUUACUUCUCCUUGACGUUCCGCGAAUUCCAGAUUCGGGAUCAUGUUGAUGGCUCGGUUGAUGCUCGCACUAUGCACGAUGACGCCAACUGGAUGGGCGUCGAUGCCACCAUCAUCAAGUGGCUAUACCGCACCAUCAGCACCGAGAUUCUCUCCCACGUCAUCCGCGACGACGACUCGGCGCUUGGCGUCUGGACGUCCAUCUGCCAGCUCUUCCUCGACAACCAGCUCCAGCGCCAAGUGCUCCUCACCACGGAGUUCUACAGCCUCUCCCAGGAGGGGAUGGGGCUCUUCGACUACUGCCUUCGCCUCAAGGUGCUCGCCGACGAGCUCCGCGACGUCGGUGCCCCGGUCUCCGACGCCACCAUGCUCACGAACCUUAUUCGUGGGCUCGGUUCGGACUACGCCAACGCCGCCUCCAACCUCAACCUCCUCACCGAGCCCACGUUCGCUCGCGCCGUCAACUACUUGCGCCUCGAGGAACGCCGGAUGCGCCAGUCAUCUCUGCAGCGCUCCCACGCCGCCCUCGCCGCGCGCACUACCACUCCGGCGGCGCCUCCCCCAGCGCCCCCCGUGCCGUCUCCUGCGACAGGCUCCUCGCCACAGGGCCAUGCUCGUAAGAAGAAGCGGGGCCCUGACGGCCGCCCCCGUGCCGCCGGCACCCCUCCUGUCGGGCGCCCUGCUGCACCCUCUGGCCCAGCGCCUGCACCAUGGUUCGGCAGGGUCAACCCGUGGACUGGCGUAGUCCAUGCCUGGGCGCUUCCUCCUGCACGCGCCCCGCAUCCUGGCAUUCUGGGCUCCCGUCCAGCCUCUCACCAGGCUCUGCUGGCCGCGCCUGCACCCGGCGGCUACCCGUCGCCGCCUCCCAACACAUGGCCCCCCGCGCCUCCGGCGCACUGGCUCGGCCCCUCCGGCGGUCCGUCUACCCCGCCGGAUCCCGCCUUACUGGCGGCUCUGCAGCAGGCCCCCUCGCCGGCCACCUACUCCGGCAACGGCGACUGGUUCAUGGACACCGGCGCCUCCUCCCACAUGGCGUCUCACCCCGGUAUCCUUUCCCACUCCCAACCCUUCCCCACUUCGACUCGCAUCGUUGUCGGUGAUGGCUCCUCUGUUCCCAUCACCCACCGCGGUGCUCUUUCCCUCUCCUCUGAUUCUCCUAUUAAGCUUUAUGACGUACUUGUCUCCCCUCAUCUCGUUACUAAUCUCGUUUCCGUUCGUGCUCUUACUCGUCAGAAUUCCGUCUCUGUUGAAUUUGAUCCCUUUGGUUUCUCUGUUAAGGACCUGCUGACCAAGACGGUGCUCCUCCGCUGUGAUAGCCCCGGCGAUCUCUACCCUCUUCGGCCGUCGCUCCCCACCCGCGCUCCCGUCGCCCUGCUCGCCGGUGUCGACCUCUGGCAUGCUCGCCUAGGGCACCCCGGCGUCUCCACCAUGCAACACCUUCUUCGUAGCAGCUCUUUUCUCUGUAAUAAAAGUGCGCCUCACUCUUGUUCUGCUUGUCGCUUGGGCAAGAGCACCCGUCUCCCUUUUUCUUCUUCUACUCAUGUCUCUAGUUUUCCCUUUGAGUUGUUGCACUGUGAUGUAUGGACCUCCCCAAUUAUAAGCAAUUCUGGUUUCCAAUACUACCUGGUUCUUCUUGACGAUUUUUCGCAUUACGUCUGGACUUUCCCUCUACGUAAUAAAUCAGAUGUGCUCUCUACGCUCAUUUCCUUCUUCGCGUUCGUACACAAUUUUCUCGCCCCAUACUCGGCCUUCAAACCGACAACGGACGCGAAUUCGACAACCAUGGCGUUCACUCCUUGCUCUCCACGCACGGCGCCAUCCUCCGCCUCACCUGCCCGUAUACGUCCCAGCAAAACGGGCGUGCCGAGCGUGUUCUCCGCACUCUCAACGACGCCGUUCGUGCAUUGCUCCUGCACGCCGCCGUCCCUCUUCGCCACUGGCCCGAAGCGCUCGCGACCGCCACCCACACCCUCAACAUCCGUCCUUGCCGCGCUCGCGGCAACUUCACUCCUCAUCACCUCUUCUUCGGCCACCCUCCCUCCUACGACAAUCUUCGGGUCUUCGGGUGCCUCUGCUACCCCAACCUCCUCGCCACCUCUCCACACAAACUCGCUCCCCGGUCCGUUUCCUGCGUCUUCUUCGGUUACCCUCCAAACACCAAGGGGUUCCGUUGCUUCGACCCAGCCUCUGGGCGCGUUCUCAUCUCCCGGCAUGUUUUCUUUGACGAAUCAGUUUUCCCGUUUCAGCAGGUUCUCGGCUCCUCACCAGCACCCGCGCCCCCGCCGGCCGCUCCACGGCGCGCUCCGGUGCUCCUCCUACCUGCACCACCAACCGCCCCGCGCGGCGGCCCUCGACGUCCAGCCGCGCCGUCGUCACCACCCGCAGGGGCGGCCGCCCCCGCCUCGACGUCGCCUGCCCCCGCCUCCUUCCCAACGGCGGCGGCAGCCUCUUCGCCGGCCUCCACCAGUUGCGCGGCCCCAUCUUCUUCGCCCCCGGGGUCGUCUACAUCUCCAUCCACCCUGGUUCCUGCGGCUCGACCCGGGGUAGACGCCCCCAGCGGUGGCGCGUCCCCGUCUUCUUCGCCACCCGGCUCGUCCCCCUCCGCGCGCCCAGCGGGGACCUCUGCGGCGCGCCCCGGGGUCCUUACCCGCGCCCGCGCUGGCGUUCGACGUCCUAGUCAGCGGUACCCCUCCGACGAGUACGUCUGCGUCGCCACCACCGCCUCUCCUUCACCGCUUCCUACGUCUAUCCACUCGGCGCUCCGGGAUCCCAACUGGCGCGCCGCCAUGCAGGCCGAGUUCGACGCACUACUUCUCAACCGCACCUGGCAGCUCGUCCCUCGACCACCCCGCGCCCAUAUCAUCAGCGGGAAGUGGGUGUUUUGGCACAAGCUCCGCCCCGACGGUUCUCUGGAACGCUACAAGGCCCGCUGGGUCGUCCGUGGCUUUCGACAACGCGCGGGGCUCGACUUCACCGACACCUUUGCCUCCGUUGUGAAGCCCGGCACGAUUCGUUGCGUCCUUCAGCUCGCCGUCUCGCGCCGCUGGGCUGUUCACCAGCUUGAUGUCACCAAUGCAUUCCUGCAUGGGCACCUGGUCGGCGUCGGCUUCGUCAUCACUCGGUCCGAUGCCUCCCUGUUCGUCUAUCGCCGCGGCGCUGCCACAGCCUACCUCCUCCUGUACGUCGAUGACAUCGUCCUGACCGCCUCUACCGACGCCCUUCUUCGUCACAUCGUCGGGCUCCUUCAACACGAGUUCGCCUUGAAGGACCUCGGGCCGCUCCACUACUUCCUGGGCGUGGAAGUCGCACGCCGUCCCGAUGGCUUCUUUCUCUGCCAGAGGAAGUACGCCCUCGAGCUACUGGACCGAGCCGGCAUGUCCGACUGCAAGCCUGCGUCCACGCCCAUCGACACCACCGGCAAGGUUUCGGGGCAGGCUGGCAUGCCUUUCUCCGAUGCCUCCUUCUACCGCAGCAUUGUCGGCGCCCUUCAGUACCUGACGCUCACUCGCCCUGAUCUUCAAUACGCCGUGCAGCAGGUCUGUCUCCAUAUGCAUGCCCCGCGCGACGUGCACUGGACCUUGGUCAAGCGGAUCCUGCGGUAUGUCCGCGGCUCCCCCUCUCUCGGCCUCACAUUAUCAGCCUCCUCGUCACUCGACAUCGUGGCCUACUCUGACGCUGACUGGGCUGGCUGCCCGGACACCCGCCGCUCUACUUCCGGCUACUGCGUCUACCUGGGGCCUUCGCUGGUGUCGUGGUCGUCUAAACGACAACCCACGGUGUCCCGCUCCAGUGCGGAGGCCGAGUACCGUGCCGUCGCCAACGCCGUCGCCGAGUGCUCCUGGCUACGUCAACUCCUCACUGAGCUCCACUGCGGCAUCGCCAAGGCGACGGUGGUCUACUGCGACAAUGUUUCGGCGGUCUAUCUCUCCGCCAACCCUGUUCAUCAUCGUCGUACCAAGCACAUUGAGCUCGACAUCCACUUCGUCCGAGAGAAGGUGGCGCUUGGGCACGUUCGGGUUCUUCAUGUUCCUACGGCUCAGCAGUUCGCCGACGUCAUGACCAAGGGGCUCCCGUCAACGGUAUUUCGGGAGUUUCGCUCCAGCCUCUGCAUCUCCGACGGCGACGCAUCGACUGCGGGGGGUGUUGAAACAGACUACGUACAUGGGGCAUGCAGCCGGUCCCUCCCUGUGCAUGCAGCCGGUUCCUCCUCUGCAUGGAUGGACCAGGCUACGUAUGGGGUGCAUGCAGCCGGUCCCUCAUCUGCAUGCAGCCGGUUUCUCCUGGCUUGGCGGGUACGAUGCCCCGGACUGCGUCUCUCUCCAGCCCGCCGGCAUCAUCGCAUGCAGCUCUCUCCCCACGACCGGCUCUACCGCAUGCAGUUGCGCAGCGCCCACGCUCCUUCAGUUACGCAUUCCGCACUCUAUCCUCUCCACGAUAGCCUGCCUCUCAGGCGUUCUGUUAAGCCUCUCUCUCUCACUCUAUAAGAUCUACCCAUGUAUAUAUAUGCUACUAUUAUCCAAAAGCCUCUCUCUCUCAUUCUCACAUGGUAUCAGUUACCCAAUAAUCCAUUCUUCGCUUCCGCUCUUCCUCUGCUGCCGACAUGGCCUCUCCCCGCUCCUCCCACUCUGGCGACGUCAAUCCCUUCGCCAUCCUCGAGCCCGCCUCCGCCGCCAGCAUCCGCCUCAUCCACAUACAGGAUCAUGUUCCCAUUGUGCUCGAUCUCCACACCCCCUCCUUCUCCACCUGGCGCACUUACUUCUCCUUGACGUUCCGCGAAUUCCAGAUUCGGGAUCAUGUUGAUGGCUCGGUUGAUGCUCGCACUAUGCACGAUGACGCCAACUGGAUGGGCGUCGAUGCCACCAUCAUCAAGUGGCUAUACCGCACCAUCAGCACCGAGAUUCUCUCCCACGUCAUCCGCGACGACGACUCGGCGCUUGGCGUCUGGACGUCCAUCUGCCAGCUCUUCCUCGACAACCAGCUCCAGCGCCAAGUGCUCCUCACCACGGAGUUCUACAGCCUCUCCCAGGAGGGGAUGGGGCUCUUCGACUACUGCCUUCGCCUCAAGGUGCUCGCCG